RNAcentral lists this RNase P RNA (376 nucleotides) under Actinomycetota bacterium. RNAcentral describes it as "RNase P RNA component class A". It matches the Rfam family "Bacterial RNase P class A". From Rfam's summary of the family: Ribonuclease P (RNase P) is a ubiquitous endoribonuclease, found in archaea, bacteria and eukarya as well as chloroplasts and mitochondria. Its best characterised activity is the generation of mature 5'-ends of tRNAs by cleaving the 5'-leader elements of precursor-tRNAs. The record is from RNAcentral. Lineage: Bacteria; Bacillati; Actinomycetota.
GACGCCGGCCAGGCAGUCGCGGGGGCGGGAGAGACAACCCGUCACUCGAGGAAAGUCCGGACACCGCAGGGCAAGGGUGGUCGGGAGACCGACCCGGGGAAACCCGCGGGAAAGUGCCACAGAAACAAACCGCCUAAGCGACGGGGUCGCAGCUGAACCCCGCCGCCGGCAAGGGUGAAAUGGUGCGGUAAGAGCGCACCGGCGGCGCGGUGACGCGCCGGCCAGGCAAACCCCACCCGGUGCAAGGCCAAGCAGGGACGUCGACGCUGCCCGCCGAGUCCCAGGUAGGCCGCAGGGCCGCAGGGCCCGCCCGGCGCAAGCCGAGCAGAUGGAUGGCUGCCCACGACAGAAUCCGGCUUACCGGCCGGCUACGGGA